ACGAACGUAACCUUACCGACGGCCUUGACAUGCAGAGUACCUUCAGAGAUGGAUUGGUGCCGUUCGGAACUCUGACACAGGUGCUGCAUGGCUGUCGUCAGCUCGUGUCGUGAGAUUGGUUGGGUUAACGUCCCGUAACGAGCGCAACCUUGUCCUUAGUUACCAGCACGUUAUGGUGGGCACUCUAAGGAGACUGCCGGUGACAAACCGGAGGAAGGUGGGGAUGACGUCAAGUCAUCAUGGCCCUUACGGCCUGGGCUACACACGUGCUACAAUGGUCGGUACAAAGGGUUGCCAAGCCGCGAGGUGGAGCUAAUCCCAUAAAACCGAUCGUAGUCCGGAUCGCAGUCUGCAACUCGACUGCGUGAAGUCGGAAUCGCUAGUAAUCGUGAAUCAGAAUGUCACGGUGAAUACGUUCCCGGGCCUU
Molecule: ribosomal RNA, 427 nt
Filed under: uncultured Pseudomonas sp.
Lineage: Bacteria; Pseudomonadati; Pseudomonadota; Gammaproteobacteria; Pseudomonadales; Pseudomonadaceae
Description: bacterial SSU rRNA
Rfam family: Bacterial small subunit ribosomal RNA
Source: RNAcentral